This 72-nucleotide transfer RNA is filed under the name Saccharomyces cerevisiae (brewer's yeast). It matches the Rfam family "tRNA". Rfam says of the family: Transfer RNA (tRNA) molecules are approximately 80 nucleotides in length. Their secondary structure includes four short double-helical elements and three loops (D, anti-codon, and T loops). Further hydrogen bonds mediate the characteristic L-shaped molecular structure. tRNAs have two regions of fundamental functional importance: the anti-codon, which is responsible for specific mRNA codon recognition, and the 3' end, to which the tRNAs corresponding amino acid is attached (by aminoacyl-tRNA synthetases). tRNAs cope with the degeneracy of the genetic code in two manners: having more than one tRNA (with a specific anti-codon) for a particular amino acid; and 'wobble' base-pairing, i.e. permitting non-standard base-pairing at the 3rd anti-codon position. The record is from RNAcentral. Lineage: Eukaryota; Fungi; Ascomycota; Saccharomycetes; Saccharomycetales; Saccharomycetaceae.
GCACAUAUGGCGCAGUUAGUGGCGCGCUUCCCUUGCAGGAAGAGGUCAUCGGUUCGAUUCCGGUUGCGUCCA